AGCCGCGGUUCCAUUCCGACUAUAAAAGCCUCUAACCCGGCUCCCUUAGAGAGGAGCUCGCUGCCCACACAGCACCCACGCCCGCUCUUCCGGUGCUGGGUGUCACCGACGCCAUCGGGGCCACGGCGCACACUCACGGGCACGCAUGCACGCCUACACGCACAUUGCUCUCAGCGAUGUCUCAGCUGGGCUCUGUGAGACUCAGGCAGCUGGCGGUUUCAUCGAAGAUGGAGGGCUGACACACCCUUCUGCCCAGGGGUCAGAGAGUAAAUCUCGCAGGGGCCCGCUGAACUCUUUGAAAGCUUCAAAGAUGGACUUCCCUGGCGGUCAAGUGGUUAGGACUUUGCGUUUCCUCUGCAGGAGGCCCAGGUUCGAUCCCUGG
This 382-nucleotide long non-coding RNA is filed under the name Capra hircus (goat). Its description in RNAcentral is "lncRNA (ENSCHIG00010029443.1)". The record is from RNAcentral. Lineage: Eukaryota; Metazoa; Chordata; Mammalia; Artiodactyla; Bovidae.